RNAcentral lists this ribosomal RNA (772 nucleotides) under uncultured bacterium. RNAcentral describes it as "bacterial SSU rRNA". It matches the Rfam family "Bacterial small subunit ribosomal RNA", at positions 8 to 796 of the family's 1533-position model. The record is from RNAcentral.
AGAGUUUGAUCAUGGCUCAGGACGAACGCUGGCGGCGUGCUUAACACAUGCAAGUCGAACGAUGAAGCCCUUCGGGGUGGAUUAGUGGCGAACGGGUGAGUAACACGUGGGUAACCUGCCCUUGGCUUUGGGAUAAGCCCUGGAAACGGGGUCUAAUACCGGAUAUGACUGACUCUCGCAUGGGGGUUGGUGGAAAGUUCCGGCGGCCAGGGAUGGGCCCGCGGCCUAUCAGCUUGUUGGUGGGGUAACAGCCUACCAAGGCGACGACGGGUAGCCGGCCUGAGAGGGCGACCGGCCACACUGGGACUGAGACACGGCCCAGACUCCUACGGGAGGCAGCAGUGGGGAAUAUUGCACAAUGGGCGAAAGCCUGAUGCAGCGACGCCGCGUGAGGGAUGACGGCCUUCGGGUUGUAAACCUCUUUCGACAGGGACGAAGCGAAAGUGACGGUACUUGUAGAAGAAGCACCGGCUAACUACGUGCCAGCAGCCGCGGUAAUACGUAGGGUGCGAGCGUUGUCCGGAAUUAUUGGGCGUAAAGAGCUCGUAGGCGGUUUGUCGCGUCGACUGUGAAAACUGGGGGGCUUAACUCUCAGCUUGCAGUCGAUACGGGCAGACUUGAGUUCGGUAGGGGAGACUGGAAUUCCUGGUGUAGCGGUGAAAUGCGCAGAUAUCAGGAGGAACACCGGUGGCGAAGGCGGGUCUCUGGGCCGAUACUGACGCUGAGGAGCGAAAGCGUGGGGAGCGAACAGGAUUAGAUACCCUAGUAGUCC